RNAcentral lists this ribosomal RNA (492 nucleotides) under uncultured bacterium. RNAcentral describes it as "partial 16S ribosomal RNA". It matches the Rfam family "Bacterial small subunit ribosomal RNA", at positions 29 to 507 of the family's 1533-position model. The record is from RNAcentral.
AGUGAACGCUGGCGGUAGGCCUAACACAUGCAAGUCGAACGGCAGCACAGUAAGAGCUUGCUCUUACGGGUGGCGAGUGGCGGACGGGUGAGGAAUACAUCGGAAUCUACUUUUUCGUGGGGGAUAACGUAGGGAAACUUACGCUAAUACCGCAUACGACCUACGGGUGAAAGCAGGGGAUCUUCGGACCUUGCGCGAUUGAAUGAGCCGAUGUCGGAUUAGCUAGUUGGCGGGUUAAAGGCCCACCAAGGCCACGAUCCGUAGCUGGUCUGAGAGGAUGAUCAGCCACACUGGAACUGAGAAACGGUCCAGACUCCUACGGGAGGCAGCAGUGGGGAAUAUUGGACAAUGGGCGCAAGCCUGAUCCAGCCAUACCGCGUGGGUGAAGAAGGCCUUCGGGUUGUAAAGCCCUUUUGUUGGGAAAGAAAAGCAGCAGGUUAAUACCCCGCUGUUCUGACGGUACCCAAAGAAUAAGCACCGGCUAACUUCGUG